Molecule: long non-coding RNA, 510 nt
Organism: Mercenaria mercenaria
Lineage: Eukaryota; Metazoa; Mollusca; Bivalvia; Venerida; Veneridae
Exons: 3
Source: RefSeq, a predicted model, not a curated record
ACUACUUUUAAUAUUGCACAUGAACUGUUAUAGUUUGAGCCAUUCUAUAAAUGUUCUAGUAUAUUCAGCAAUAUUCAAACCUUUGACAACUGGUAAAGAAAGUAAAUAUCAGAAAUAGGAUUUAACAAGAAAUUUAUGUAGUUUAUGUUCAUAACGGAAGAUGCAACACAAUGAAAGCUCGCAGUAUUGUCACAGGUCCUGCAGAGUCUAGUUCACACACGUGGCCAAGUCAGCAUGAAACAGAUGGAGGUGUGAUUCAACCAGUUAAGUAGGCUGUAUCUGCCCCUCAUCGCCUUGGGAAAAUCAUUGAGGACAUUCUGAUAGGCGCAACUUUGAACUAUCCAGCUAUACACAACCAAAUGCGCAUUAUUGUUGAGCGUUCUGGUGAGAGAACACCACCGAUGACUCUUGCGGCAGUGCCUGCAUGGUCAGGUUGAUACACUGAACUACAAGUCAUGCACUCCAUGAACUUUAAUAUACGGAUUAAAAAGAAUAAAACACUUAUAGAUA